GUGAGUUUUUUUGUGGGGCAGGUGGGGUGGGGGGGUUGCUUGUUGUUUUGUUGCUAUUGUUUUUAGCGGCAAGGGAUAGAAGCUGGACUCAAAGGAUGUAAUAGAAGGUGUCAUCUGUCAACAACACCACCACCACAUGACAACAUGCAGCAAAGCUAGCAGCCACUUCCAAUUCCUGGUGUGAGUGGACCUUGCCCUUCUGAAGCAAAGAACAUUCUUGACUCAAUUGAUGAAGGUGCCUUUCAAUUAGACGCUGUAAGGCUCCAGAGCUGAGCGGUCUUGAAGACAGAAUUCAGAGAAGUGAGACUGUGAUUUCUGGACUCAUUAUCCUGACCAACUUCAGAAUACCCAGAAUCUAGCCAUCUAUCUUUUAAUGAUAUUCAGAUCAAUGUACCUCAGCGAAUCUGGGUUUUCUACCAUGAACAUUAAAAAACCCAACACUGCAAUCAUCUGAUAGAUGAGUAUCUCCACCAAUGCAUGCACCUUGUCUUGACUUCCUACAAACCACUCUUCACAAAGCUUGCCAGACAUCAUUGGUCACCUCUCCCAUUAGAGAUUGCCACAAAGACAGGCAUAAAAAGAUCACUGAACUUUUAUCUAUGGGCAGUACUGCAAAAUUGACUAUGAAGAUUUCUGCCAUCCUCAUAAGCAUCAGAGAUAAGCAAUAAUGGAGAUGGUACUUUAUCAGUCAUUUAACUUCCGUAGACAUGCUGAGCUGAAGAAGGAAGAGAAAGAUCAUUAUAUAUAAUUCUCCAGAAAUACAAAGCAACCUAUUCAGUGACAUAGUUUCAAUAAGACAGCUCAAAAUACACAGCUAAUUUAGGUCUGAACUGUUUAGACUGUGUAAUCUUCUUUUGUACACCCAAACCCUAUUAUAACUGGAUAUACAAACAAUAUUGAAAGACUCAAAUUUUCACGAAGUAAAUGCACAAAAGCUACUCUGCAUUAUACACAUGGCUUGGUUCAGAUUCUCCCCUCUCUCUUGUUAGUUCCUUUAAAGACAAUGAACGUUGGAAGAAUAAAGAGAAAUGGAAACAAAGUAAUAGAAUGGGC
This 1053-nucleotide long non-coding RNA is filed under the name Chrysemys picta bellii (western painted turtle). RNAcentral's name for it is "lncRNA (ENSCPBG00000012552.1)". Lineage: Eukaryota; Metazoa; Chordata; Testudines; Emydidae. The record is from RNAcentral.